CCAGACUCCUACGGGAGGCAGCAGUGAGGAAUAUUGGUCAAUGGGCUUACGCCUGAACCAGCCAAGUCGCGUGAGGGAAGACUGCCCUAUGGGUUGUAAACCUCUUUUGUCAGGGAGCAACGCCGGCUACGUGUAGCCGGACUGAGAGUACCUGAAGAAAAAGCAUCGGCUAACUACGUGCCAGCAGCCGCGGUAAUACGUAGGGGGCAAGCGUUAUCCGGAUUUACUGGGUGUAAAGGGAGCGUAGACGGCUGUGCAAGUCUGGAGUGAAAGGCAUGGGCUCAACCUGUGGACUGCUUUGGAAACUGUGCGGCUUGAGUGUCGGAGGGGCAAGUGGAAUUCCUAGUGUAGCGGUGAAAUGCAUAGAUAUCGCGCAGAACUCCGAUUGCGAAGGCAGCAUGCCGGCUCCACACUGACGCUGAGGCACGAAAGCGUGGGUAUCGAACAGGAUUAGAUACCCUUGUAGAG
RNAcentral lists this ribosomal RNA (468 nucleotides) under uncultured bacterium. RNAcentral describes it as "bacterial SSU rRNA". It matches the Rfam family "Bacterial small subunit ribosomal RNA", at positions 331 to 795 of the family's 1533-position model. The record is from RNAcentral.